UGAUAAAUGCCAUUUCUUGGUUAAAUUUA
This 29-nucleotide non-coding RNA is filed under the name Mus musculus (house mouse). Lineage: Eukaryota; Metazoa; Chordata; Mammalia; Rodentia; Muridae. RNAcentral also lists the same sequence under 1 other name. The record is from RNAcentral.